AAAUCUUCAACAUUUUCGAGCUAUGGACCUUCGGCAGUAAACCUGUUCUUUGGUUUGGUCCACAGACAAUUUAUUUUAUAACCUAAACAACUUGGUUUAGGAGCGUCUAGUCUUUUAUCAUCCCUCAAUAAUAGAUGGAUAUAGAAACGUUCUAGCCACCUUGAGCUAAUAAUUUGAAUACGGGUGUAUUACCGAAGAAACAUUGUAGAUUAUUAAAAUUGUUUAUGAAACUUAUUCGUUCCAGAGAUUCGCUGUUUUUAAACGCAUGUCUAAUCGAAAAUAUCCAUCAUGAAAGAAUCUAAAACUUACCCAUUGUAGUGUGCCUCUUUUGAAAUUAUCCCACAAAUGUUCGCUACUACAAAUUUUAAGUCUACGCAGGAGAACCUAGUACUCAACCCAAGGGCAAAGGAUCGCAAAGUAUGCAAGAUGUGCACAUACACAGCCACUGACCGCGCUGCUCUCCAGUCCAGAGCUAUCAUUAAAAUACGAAUGCUUUCUAGAACUUUAAGUGAUAAUCAUGGUUUAGCGUAAAAAAUUGGUUGGAAAUCAAUGGUGAAAUGUAGAAACAGUUAAAAAAUAAAAUAUUUGAAAGUUUCGAAAAUGUGGAAACGCCGUUUUUGGUGCGGUUCAUUGUACGCCCGCGAUCAGUCAAGCAAGAACGUGGAAAUGACUGACGAAGGCCUUUGAUAUAUGUAUACCGUAUAAUAUAUAAUAUAACAGUUAGCGUAG
This is a non-coding RNA of Bactrocera oleae (olive fruit fly), 729 nucleotides long. Lineage: Eukaryota; Metazoa; Arthropoda; Insecta; Diptera; Tephritidae. The record is from RefSeq and is a predicted model, not a curated record.